Molecule: unclassified non-coding RNA, 22 nt
Filed under: Mus musculus (house mouse)
Lineage: Eukaryota; Metazoa; Chordata; Mammalia; Rodentia; Muridae
Description: oocyte_clustered_small_RNA8300
Source: RNAcentral
UGGACUAAGAACUCUCGCCUGC